RNAcentral lists this unclassified non-coding RNA (324 nucleotides) under soil metagenome. Its description in RNAcentral is "partial contains 5.8S ribosomal RNA, internal transcribed spacer 2, and large subunit ribosomal RNA". The stretch from base 1 to 120 matches the Rfam family "5.8S ribosomal RNA", at positions 35 to 154 of the family's 154-position model. The record is from RNAcentral.
GAUGAAGAACGCAGCGAAAUGCGAUAAGUAGUGUGAAUUGCAGAAUUCAGUGAACCAUCGAAUCUUUGAACGCACAUUGCGCCCCUUGGUAUUCCAUGGGGCAUGCCUGUUCGAGCGUCAUUUGUACCUUCAAGCUUUGCUUGGUGUUGGGUGUUUGUCCCGAGGGACUCGCCUUAAAGUAAUUGGCAGCCAGUGUUUGGUUUUGAAGCGCAGCACAAGUCGCGAUUCAAGGCUACACGCCCGCUUCCACAAGCCUUUUUUCACUUUUGACCUCGGAUCAGGUAGGGAUACCCGCUGAACUUAAGCAUAUCAAUAAGCGGAGGA